Molecule: unclassified non-coding RNA, 803 nt
Filed under: Hevea brasiliensis (rubber tree)
Lineage: Eukaryota; Viridiplantae; Streptophyta; Magnoliopsida; Malpighiales; Euphorbiaceae
Source: RNAcentral
UAAAAAAUUCAUCUGUGUCUAGCAGUUCUCUCUCAAAUUCAGUUUUGGGAAGGGAUGGUUCAAUGUCAGAAUCAUUUCGACCUUUCCCCACAAUUUCUAAAACUGACCAAGUUAGUCAAACUGUUUCUGCUGAAUCUAUUAUGCCAAGUAUUUCUGUCAGCAGAUCACUAUUAAGCAAUCAGUAUAGCAGGCCACAUCAAGCAGCUGUGGGUCAUCAAAAAGCUGCUCAGCAUAAUAAGGAGUGGAAACCAAAAUCAAGCCAAAAAUCAAGUGUUGGCAGCCCUGGAGUGAUUGGAACACUUACAAAAUCUAGUUUACCUCCUGCUGACAAUUCUAAGGAUUUGGAAUAUGAUGUAUCUGAUUUUCACGAUAAGCUUUUGCGAGUGAAUGUCUAUGAAAAUCAAAAUGUGAUCAUAGCACAACAUAUUCGAGUCCCUGAAACUGAUAGGUGCAGGCUGACCUUUGGCAGUUUUGGGACAGAGUUUGAUUCUUCCAGGAAUAUUUCAUCUGGAUUUCAAGCACUUGCAGUUACAGAAGAAUCUAAUGCAGAAUCUGCUGCAAGCUUGUCAGUAUCUGCACCGGAGUCUUUCAGUGAUGAUGCCUCUGGCAACAAGCUGGUAGAAUUACUAGAUGAACAAGUUAGAAAUUCUGGAUCUGAUUCUUCAGCAUCAGGUGCAGAGUCUGAGAAUCAAUUACCUGAUAGGUCUUCAAGUCCUCCGAAUUUGGACAAUUAUGCUGAUAUUGGUUUAGCUCAAGACAAUAGUCCAUCUUGCCGCUGCUGUGAUUCUGAAGGCGUAUAAGAG